RNAcentral lists this non-coding RNA (30 nucleotides) under Mus musculus (house mouse). Lineage: Eukaryota; Metazoa; Chordata; Mammalia; Rodentia; Muridae. The record is from RNAcentral.
UAGAUGUACAUACCACUACUGCACCAUUCU